CCUACGGGUGGCAGCAGUGGGGAAUCUUGGACAAUGGGGGAAACCCUGAUCCAGCGACGCCGCGUGAGUGAAGAAGUAUUUCGGUACGUAAAGCUCUAUCAGCAGGAAAGAACAUGACGGUACCUGACUAAGAAGCCCCGGCUAACUACGUGCCAGCAGCCGCGGUAAUACGUAGGGGGCAAGCGUUCUCCGGAUUUAAUGGGUGUAACGGGAGCGUAGACGGCAGCGCAAGUAUGGAGUGAAAUGCCGGGGCCCAACCCCGGAACUGCACUGGAAACUGGGAAGCUGGAGUGCAGGAGAGGUAAGCGGAAGUCCUGGUGUAGCGGUGAAAUGCGUAGAUAUAAGGAGGAACACCAGCGGCGAAGGCGGCUUACUGGACUGUAACUGACGUUGAGGCACGAAAGCGUGGGGAGCAAACAGGAUUAGAUACCCGAGUAGUC
RNAcentral lists this ribosomal RNA (440 nucleotides) under uncultured bacterium. RNAcentral's name for it is "partial 16S ribosomal RNA". It matches the Rfam family "Bacterial small subunit ribosomal RNA", at positions 338 to 795 of the family's 1533-position model. The record is from RNAcentral.